GAGAUUAAGCGUGUUGUGAAAUGUAGAUGCUCAACAUCUGCACUGCAGCGCGAACUGGUUUCCUUGAGUACGCACAAAGUGGGCGGAAUUCGUGGUGUAGCGGUGAAAUGCUUAGAUAUCACGAAGAACUCCGAUUGCGAAGGCAGCUCACUGGAGCGCAACUGACGCUGAAGCUCGAAAGUGCGGGUAUCGAACAGGAUUAGAUACCCUGGUAGUCCGCACGGUAAACGAUGGAUGCCCGCUGUUGGUCUGAAUAGGUCAGCGGCCAAGCGAAAGCAUUAAGCAUCCCACCUGGGGAGUACGCCGGCAACGGUGCAACUCAAAGGAAUUGACGG
This 335-nucleotide ribosomal RNA is filed under the name uncultured Bacteroidota bacterium. RNAcentral's name for it is "bacterial SSU rRNA". It matches the Rfam family "Bacterial small subunit ribosomal RNA", at positions 579 to 916 of the family's 1533-position model. The record is from RNAcentral. Lineage: Bacteria; Pseudomonadati; Bacteroidota.